CCCGCACAAGCGGUGGAGCAUGUGGUUAAUUCGAAGCAACGCGAAGAACCUUACCAGGCCUUGACAUGCAGAGAACUUUCCAGAGAUGGAUUGGUGCCUUCGGGAACUCUGACACAGGUGCUGCAUGGCUGUCGUCAGCUCGUGUCGUGAGAUGUUGGGUUAAGUCCCGUAACGAGCGCAACCCUUGUCCUUAGUUACCAGCACGUUAUGGUGGGCACUCUAAGGAGACUGCCGGUGACAAACCGGAGGAAGGUGGAGAUGACGUCAAGUCAUCAUGGCCCUUACGGCCUGGGCUACACACGUGCUACAAUGGUCGGUACAAAGGGUUGCCAAGCCGCGAGGUGGAGCUAAUCCCAUAAAACCGAUCGUAGUCCGGAUCGCAGUCUGCAACUCGACUGCGUGAAGUCGGAAUCGCUAGUAAUCGUGAAUCAGAAUGUCACGGUGAAUACGUUCCCGGGCCUU
Molecule: ribosomal RNA, 462 nt
Filed under: uncultured Pseudomonas sp.
Lineage: Bacteria; Pseudomonadati; Pseudomonadota; Gammaproteobacteria; Pseudomonadales; Pseudomonadaceae
Description: bacterial SSU rRNA
Rfam family: Bacterial small subunit ribosomal RNA
Source: RNAcentral